GAGUGCGCGUCCGUAGCAAUACGGAUGGCGCACGGCGCACGGGUGCGUAACACGUGGGCAAUCUGCCCUCCGAUGGGGAAUAACUCCGGGAAACCGAAGCUAAUUCCGCAUAACAUUCCCAGGACCCCGGUUCCGGGAAUCAAAGCAGUGAUGCGUCGGAGGAGGAGCCCGCGCCCGAUUAGCUAGUUGGUAGGGUAACGGCCUACCAAGGCCAUGAUCGGUAGCUGGUCUGAGAGGAUGGCCAGCCACACUGGAACUGAGACACGGUCCAGACUCCUACGGGAGGCAGCAGUGGGGAAUCUUGCGCAAUGGGCGAAAGCCUGACGCAGCGACGCCGCGUGGGGGAUGAAGCUUCUCGGAGUGUAAACCCCUUUCGACUGGGACGAAUGCCCGCAAGGGAGUGACGGUACCAGUAGAAGAAGCCCCGGCUAACUACGUG
Molecule: ribosomal RNA, 439 nt
Filed under: uncultured bacterium
Lineage: Bacteria
Description: bacterial SSU rRNA
Rfam family: Bacterial small subunit ribosomal RNA
Source: RNAcentral